This 253-nucleotide ribosomal RNA is filed under the name uncultured bacterium. Its description in RNAcentral is "partial 16S ribosomal RNA". It matches the Rfam family "Bacterial small subunit ribosomal RNA", at positions 524 to 776 of the family's 1533-position model. The record is from RNAcentral.
UACGUAGGGUGCAAGCGUUAAUCGGAAUUACUGGGCGUAAAGCGUGCGCAGGCGGCUUUGCAAGACGGAUGUGAAAUCCCCGGGCUCAACCUGGGAACUGCAUUUGUGACUGCAAGGCUAGAGUACGGUAGAGGGGGAUGGAAUUCCGCGUGUAGCAGUGAAAUGCGUAGAUAUGCGGAGGAACACCGAUGGCGAAGGCAAUCCCCUGGACCUGUACUGACGCUCAUGCACGAAAGCGUGGGGAGCAAACAGG